RNAcentral lists this long non-coding RNA (516 nucleotides) under Chloebia gouldiae (Gouldian finch). Its description in RNAcentral is "Erythrura gouldiae (Gouldian finch) lncRNA (ENSEGOG00005015051.1)". The record is from RNAcentral. Lineage: Eukaryota; Metazoa; Chordata; Aves; Passeriformes; Passeridae.
GGAGGACGGGGAGGAGGAGGAGGAGGAGGAAUCCCCUCUGGGGUGUCCCAGGGAAGGGACAGCCCCUCCCUCGUCUGCGCUGCUCAUCCGCCGCCACCACCGGACUGACCACGCUUCCAGAGCUGGGCUGAGCAGAUGCUGGGGUGUCCCAGAGCUGAGCAGAUCCUGGGAUAUUCCACAAAGCAGAUGCUGGGAUGUUCCAGAGCUGAGCAGAUCCUGGGAUGUUCCACAAAGCAGAUCCUGGGGUGUCCCAGAGCUGAGCAGAUCCUGGGAUGUUCCACAAAGCAGAUGCUGGGGUGUCCCAGAGCUGAGCUGGACAGAUUCUGGGAUGUUCCAGAGCUGAGCAGACCCUGGGAUGUCCCAGCACUGAGCAGACCCUGGGGUGUUCCAGAGGCCUCCAGGAGCCUUCCCAGCUCCCAAGGAGAUCCCUGGAUCAGCUCCCCCAGGGGCCAGGCCCAGCGUGGGGUGUCCCCCCUGCACCCCGAGGCUCAGCAGGGCUGGAGGCAGGAGCCCUAA